RNAcentral lists this small RNA (1112 nucleotides) under Rattus norvegicus (Norway rat). Its description in RNAcentral is "uncharacterized LOC108352294". The record is from RNAcentral. Lineage: Eukaryota; Metazoa; Chordata; Mammalia; Rodentia; Muridae.
UUUCCUUGUGCCUGCUUAAAUUAUCUAACUUAUUUACAUGAAUCCUUAGGCUCCUCGUUUAAUUUUUUUUUUGAGACCUACUCACAUGUGUUGCAUGUCUGUGAAUUAUACCCGGAGUGUGACAGACAAUGACUACUUGGAAGAUGCCUAGCAGCAGUUACCCUGGCAACAAUAACCAGGGGACGCUUCUCAGAACUCCUGCCUCCCCUCUUCCCCAUCAUUUUCCCUGUUUGGAGAGUGAGAUAACAUCAUUAUCAGAAUUAGCCAAAGCUGGUUUUUAUCCCAGGCAUAAUGAAAGAGAGAAGGCUUACAAAUGACUGUCUUUUACUCACUAUCAGGGGCAUUUGGUACAGCUCUGCAGUCAAGUCUGAAUGGAGGGGGUGCUGUGUCUAAAGGAAAGAACUGCUUGUUCUCCUACGAACAAAUACUGUACAGAGGGAGACUUAAUUGUCUCCACUGCUACUACAAGCAUUUAUGGGGGAUGAAUGAAAUUGUCAGAUCAUCAUGUGUAGGCUAAAAAAAAUAAAUGGAAAACCUGGGGUUGUAAUCUCAGAGCUGAAACGGAAAAGUUUUUAAAAUCACUUAUGCCUCCACUGAGAUGUGUGUGUUUUCUGAAUCCCAAGAAAGUGAUCAGCUAAAAUCAGCUAAUGAAGGGUUGGCCAUACAGAGAAUAAAACUAAACCCAACUAAGGAAACAGAACUUUGGAUGAACUAAAACACAUUAAGGAAGAGCAGCAUGGUCUACUACUGCUGCUGGGGAAAUCCCUUGACCACUAUUUGGAAUCGAUCUGGCUGGAAACCGAUGUCAAAAUUUACAUAGAGACUUCGUAACACUUUGUAAAGUGAAAUAAAAAAUAAGAAGACAGGAUCCUGUAGAAUAUGCAUGCAAUUCUGGGCAAUAAUUUUUCCUUCGCUGUUGUAAAGAGAUAUUAAGAUAUUGAGUGUGAUUUUUUAAUUAAUGAGAUAAUAGCAUGAAGAUAAACUUGGUAUUGUUAGUUCAUACUGUGACAAUCAAGAAAAACAGUUGUGCUGACCACUCACGACUUUGCUUUAGGGCUCUGUUGCCAUCUCGGUAAGACAGAGACUGACAAAGACAGGCUGAAGCACAUUCA